UCAAGGAAGAAGAUCUGACGGUACUUGAUGAAUAAGCCACGGCUAAUUCCGUGCCAGCAGCCGCGGUAAUACGGGAGUGGCAAGCGUUAUCCGGAAUUAUUGGGCGUAAAGCGUCCGCAGGCGGUCUUACAAGUCUGUCGUUAAAGCGUGGAGCUUAACUCCAUUUCGGCGAUGGAAACUGUAAGACUAGAGUGUGGUAGGGGCAGAGGGAAUUCCCGGUGUAGCGGUGAAAUGCGUAGAUAUCGG
RNAcentral lists this ribosomal RNA (246 nucleotides) under uncultured Synechococcus sp. RNAcentral's name for it is "partial 16S ribosomal RNA". It matches the Rfam family "Bacterial small subunit ribosomal RNA", at positions 439 to 700 of the family's 1533-position model. The record is from RNAcentral. Lineage: Bacteria; Bacillati; Cyanobacteriota; Cyanophyceae; Synechococcales; Synechococcaceae.